This 641-nucleotide long non-coding RNA is filed under the name Homo sapiens (human). Its description in RNAcentral is "HSALNT0292992". The record is from RNAcentral. Lineage: Eukaryota; Metazoa; Chordata; Mammalia; Primates; Hominidae.
GAAUCUGAGUCAUAGGCAUCAGGGAAGGCUUUUCGUAGGAGUAGAUGUCUAUACCAAACCCUGAAGAAUGAAUAGAAAUAAGCUGUUAGAGAAGUUGGCGGAAAGUAGGGAGAUAAAGAGAAUAAGAAUAUUUACCAGGAAAACAAAAUAGAGAGCACCAAACCCCAGAGGAAAGAGACAGCAUGGAGUGUGGCUGGAGCAGAAAAUGUGUGUGGGAGGAAGAUCAUUCUGGUGUGAAAAUUGGUUUGGUUGGGGAUCAAGCCUGGAGCACUGGAAACAAAUUAGGAUACUAAAUCAGUUCUCAGAAUCGAAGUUGAAUGUCCUAACAAUAGGAAGAGAUUGAUUGGAGACAGAUUAAGGAGAUGGAACCCGUAAAAGACAUACUCAUAGGAUGAAGAGACUGUGUUAAAAAGGGGACAGAAAAAUGAUGGGAUACCUUGCUUGCACCUUUCCAGGUACUUCCAGGUAAACAUUAAACAAUGGUAUGGAUAUCAGAAAAUGACACUACUGUAGAAACAAGCAGCCAAGCAUAAUAUUGGUGAAGACAGGCUUUAUUGUUGGACAAACUGGCUUUGGAAUAAUAUGACGGAUCACACUUGCUUGUCACGUAAUCUUGGGAUAAAAUUAUGUAAAUUAUUUGA